GGGUUGUGAGGUUAAGCGACUAAGCGUACACGGUGGAUGCCCUGGCAGUCAGAGGCGAUGAAGGGCGUGCUAAUCUGCGAUAAGCGCCGGUAAGGUGAUAUGAACCGUUAUAACCGGCGAUACCCGAAUGGGGAAACCCAGUGUGACUCGUCACACUAUCAUUAACUGAAUCCAUAGGUUAAUGAGGCGAACCGGGGGAACUGAAACAUCUAAGUACCCCGAGGAAAAGAAAUCAACCGAGAUUCCCCCAGUAGCGGCGAGCGAACGGGGAGGAGCCCAGAGCCUGAAUCAGCAUGUGUGUUAGUGGAAGCGUCUGGAAAGGCGCGCGAUACAGGGUGACAGCCCCGUACACAAAAGCGCAUGUGCUGUGAGCUCGAUGAGUAGGGCGGGACACGUGGUAUCCUGUCUGAAUAUGGGGGGACCAUCCUCCAAGGCUAAAUACUCCUGACUGACCGAUAGUGAACCAGUACCGUGAGGGAAAGGCGAAAAGAACCCCGGCGAGGGGAGUGAAAAAGAACCUGAAACCGUGUACGUACAAGCAGUGGGAGCCCCACCACUAAGCCAGUGGUGAACUCCACAUACGCAUCCUUUGCUGAGGAUACGGUUAACGGAGCGCAAGCGACGUUCAACCGCAAAAGAAGCAGAGGGGGCUUAGUGGUGGGGUGACUGCGUACCUUUUGUAUAAUGGGUCAGCGACUUAUAUUCUGUAGCAAGGUUAACCGUAUAGGGGAGC
Molecule: ribosomal RNA, 733 nt
Filed under: Salmonella enterica
Lineage: Bacteria; Pseudomonadati; Pseudomonadota; Gammaproteobacteria; Enterobacterales; Enterobacteriaceae
Description: partial 23S ribosomal RNA
Rfam family: Bacterial large subunit ribosomal RNA
Source: RNAcentral